GUGUAAUGGCGGAGUUUCCUACUACCCGUGAAUGCCUCUUUUUUUGCAUCUCCGGCUGACUCCUGAAUCUCCGCCCACUCUCUGCUCGAUCCCUGCCGAGUGAAAGAGAUCUUUGGUUUUGCCUUUGCUGACUGCUGAUCUGAUCGUCUCAAGUCUGGUGACCUGCUGCAGAAAACCCUCUCCCUCUAUCAUUAACAAGCAAUUCAGUCUGUCCUAUCACUCUCCCUCUCCCUGCUCCAUCUUUUUUGACAAGCCAUUCUAUCUUCUAUCAUUUCUCCGCCAUGAGCUCUAUCUAAUUUGACAAGCUUGAACCUGAGUUGAAAAGCAAAACAAGUUUGAAAAGCAAAACAAGUUUGAAAAGCAAAACAAGUUUGAAAAGCAAAACAAGUUUGAGAAACCCAAGUUUGAGAAACCCAAGUUUGAGAAACCCAAGUUUGAGAAACCCAAGUUUGAGAAACCCAAGUUUUUGGAAUUGAAGUUACCGCAACUUCAUCGAUCUGUUUUCAGAAUUCGGAGAGAUCUCCGCUCUCACUGCUCCUUCUUUCCUGUCGUUAAACUUUCAUAUCCACUCAUUUUGCUGGAAAUUACUAGUAAAAAGUUGAAUAUACAGUAAUAGAAUUACAGUACAGUAGAACUCACUGUAGAAACUACUUACAGAGCCCUACAUUUGUCAUUUUAAUUUUGCAUUACACUUUGAAAUAAGCACUGAUAGUUUGGCUUACAAGUGCAAUUUGAUAAAUUAUAUAAACUUAUAUACACCUUUUUUGAGAUAUAUUUGUAGUAAGAUAAUUUGGUUAUUUUGUAAUUCAGACUGUUAUAUUCACAUAAAUAUUAAAUUUGAUUCAAAUACAUUUUUCAAGUCUGUUUCAUUGGUUAUAACAUUUGACUACAAGUUUAUACUAUUAUUAUUUAAGGACAAACCCUUUUUUGUCACUCAGUGUAAGUAUUCAAUUACAGUUAUCAUCUAGAGGCUCUCCUGAGAUCCCAGACUUCCUGUUUCCUGGCUGCUGCAGAACAUCCAGCUGAAGAAUCCCCAUCGCCUGUCAUCUGAUCACCACACCAUCACAGCUCCUUAUAUUUGCUUUAAAAUUUAAAUAUCUGAAAGAUUUACACAGUCUACUUAAAAUUUAAGAGUUUUAUUAUAGCCUGUUGAUUGAUUGUUGAGAUUUAUUCUGCAUAUUACAUUACAGAAGUAUAGACCUAUUUGUUAUCCAGUCUGGUUAAAAAAAAUACAAGUAAUAAUAUACAGUUUUUGAAAAAAGUUACAAUAAAACAGACCAAAGUGUUUUCAAAGAACUUUUAUAUUGAGUUUGUAUUUAAGUCAGCC
Molecule: long non-coding RNA, 1327 nt
Organism: Oreochromis aureus
Lineage: Eukaryota; Metazoa; Chordata; Actinopteri; Cichliformes; Cichlidae
Source: Ensembl